GCGCCCUUAGCUCAAAUGGACAGAGCGCCGGCCUACGAAGCCGUAGGUUGCCCGUUCGACUCGGGCAGGGCGCGCCA
RNAcentral lists this transfer RNA (77 nucleotides) under Planctomycetota bacterium. Its description in RNAcentral is "Planctomycetes bacterium (freshwater metagenome) tRNA-Arg". It matches the Rfam family "tRNA". From Rfam's summary of the family: Transfer RNA (tRNA) molecules are approximately 80 nucleotides in length. Their secondary structure includes four short double-helical elements and three loops (D, anti-codon, and T loops). Lineage: Bacteria; Pseudomonadati; Planctomycetota. The record is from RNAcentral.